UUGCAAUUUUUUGUUCAUAUCCUGGGGGGGCAAGGCCAGCAAACCUUUUGCAAAUAUAUGGUUGAGAGAAAAAGCAACCCAGGGCAGGGAAGGUGACUGCGAUUGCCAUAUACAAACAAAAUCAGAAAAUUCUAAACCAGUCACAAACAAAAUGCAGUUGAGCAAAUCUUUCUAGGAUCUUAAUUGUUUAUGCAGUAAUGGGUGGCAUUUAUCUGAUAUAAUUUGUCAAUUGAAAAGGCAAACAGUUUCAAUUCAGUGGUGGAAAACUGCAUUCAGGAACGAGUGACAGAAUAAUCACUGAAGGAAAAUGUUAUUGGAAACCAUUAAGCAAGAAUUUAUGGGAAAAUGAAAGACAAGCUGUCCCCUCAUCCCACUCUGUUGAGCUUUCCCUGGAAACUGCAAGCUGCCAAUGAGAAGCCAAGUUGAAAUGCAAGGCCAGCCAAUCAAACAGUUUAUCACGUAAGACAACGUAGGCGAAACAAAGGUACUAUGGCUGAAAGGGAACAGGGAGGAAGGACUCAGGAAGCCUUGUGUGCUCAGUCUAAACACCUGGCUACCCAGCAAAAAGCAGAGGAGGAAAAUGAGCUGCAGAAGGAUCAAAUGACCUGCCUGAGGUGCCCUAUCUGUUGGCACAGGCCAGAGCACAUGGUGGAUGCAGGGGCACCCCCUUCCCUUCUCCUCCCCUCCGGCUCUUUGCUGACAGGAUUCUCUCUUGCCUUCUCUGAUGGUACCUGUGCUACGUGCCACAUCCUUUCCCUCAAUGAAUUUCAGGCAGUGGAAGGGGCCGCAGAAGUUCCUUGACUCAUGAGGCGAGGCAUUCAGCGGCCUCGUGACACCUCCCAGGAUCUGCAGUCAUUGGGCUGCACUUGCCAAUAGCAACACCUGGCAAAAAUAGCUAAGAAGCAGAGCGGCCUGGGCUCAGGAGCUGAGCAACCCCUGACUGGCCAGAUGGAGACUGUGUUGAGCUCUGCCCAAGCCCUGUGAUCCUGGAAAACAGUGAAGUUAAGGAGCCAUCUGCAUUCUAGGGAAUGGCCCACUGCAAAAAAUAGCCUUCCUUAUAGGACGUAGAGGACUCAUGAUGUCCCCUCAUUUAUGAUGAGCCAACACACAGCCCUUCCAAAUUCCGAUUCUUUGCUUCAUAACUGAUGAGCUGUUUUGUUCCCACUGGUCAAUCGGAACAACAUUCUUGCUAACCAGAUUUUGGUUCAGCUCUUCUCCCUCCCCAUGUACCUGCCCUGUGUCCUGUCCUCAUCCUGAGCCAGCACACACCCCUCCUUAGUAGCUCCUCCUGCAGCAGGCUGACCUCGGACUCUCCCUGAUCCAUUGUCCAAAUAUAUCACCCUUUCACCCUACAUCCUCACACCCCAUUCUUUCUAGUUUUGUUCAUUCCUCCCUGUGAAAGAUGAACCCUCUUUGCCUAACCCCGGACCUGCUUGCAGACUGCUAUGAUGGCCAGAGUGUCCCCCCUACUGCAAGAGUCCCUUCUGUCCCUUGCAACAUCUUUUAAAUAAAAUCUCUCUUUAC
RNAcentral lists this long non-coding RNA (1524 nucleotides) under Homo sapiens (human). RNAcentral's name for it is "HSALNT0380233". The record is from RNAcentral. Lineage: Eukaryota; Metazoa; Chordata; Mammalia; Primates; Hominidae.